AGUGAACGCUGGCGGCAUGCCUAACACAUGCAAGUCGAACGGCAGCAUGAUCAGGUUUGCCAGAUUCAUGUCGCGUGGGGCAGGGGGGUGAAAUAUAUAUGAACUUCCCCUGUUGCGGGGGAGAACUAGUCGAAAGAUUAGCUAUAACAGCACAUGACCUGAACGGGAAAGUGCGGGAGCGCAAGGCACCUUGCCAGAGUAAUGGCGCCGGUGUCGGAUUAGCUAGUUGGAGGGGUAAGGGCACACCAAGGCGACGAAACGUAGCUGGUCUGAGAGGAUGAUCAGCCACACUGGAACUGAGACACGGUCCAGACUCCUACGGGAGGCAGCAGUGGGGAAUUUUGGGCAAUGGGCGAAAGCCUGAUCCAGCCAUGCCGCGUGUGUGAAGAAGGCCUUCGGGUUGUAAAGCCCUUUUGUUCGGAAAGAAAAGGUGCUGGUUAAUACCUGGGUUUGCUGACGGUACCGAAAGAAUAAGCACCGGCUAACUACGUG
This 492-nucleotide ribosomal RNA is filed under the name uncultured bacterium. RNAcentral's name for it is "partial 16S ribosomal RNA". It matches the Rfam family "Bacterial small subunit ribosomal RNA", at positions 29 to 507 of the family's 1533-position model. The record is from RNAcentral.